Molecule: long non-coding RNA, 1483 nt
Filed under: Nicotiana benthamiana
Lineage: Eukaryota; Viridiplantae; Streptophyta; Magnoliopsida; Solanales; Solanaceae
Description: long non-coding RNA (NBEN_LNC032450)
Source: RNAcentral
AAAUGGUCUAUUUAUUUGAGUCAUUGAAAUAUGUUUAAUAUACCAUGUGAAAAUUAUCCUUGAGAAAUCUACAUUAAUGGUGGAGGUUCUUAACUAAAAAAAGAGUAUUAUCUUUGGGUACUAGUCAAACUAACUCCACCCAUGAGAAUAAAUAUUGGGGUUUUCACCGAACGGGAGAAAAUAUUAUAUCUCAGGUUCUUAUGUGUUUAAUAAAAGGAUAAUUAAUUGUAAAAGGAGAUAUUAUAUAUUCUAGAAAUAGGAAGAACGUAAUAUAUGCAUUGAGCUCAUAGAGUAAUUAUAAGGAUAAUGAAAAUCAAUAUCAUAUUUAUUAAUUCAUGAGACUACUUAAACCAGUUAUUCUCCGAGUUUGGUUACAAGCUGGUGGUCAUGAAUUUAACAGACUCCGAUUGACCUGAAACUUGGUGGGUUCAUCAAAAAUGAUCUAAUGAGAAAAACUCAGUGCUAUGCAGUGAAUCAUGUGAAUUUUUGGCAUUUUGAGGUCGUUUAGAUGGGUUUCAAGCAGUUUAUUAAAUUGAAUUUGUUAUAAAUAUGAAAAAUUAUUCUUUAUAUAUAGGCUAUAUUUGUGUUAAAUCUUAAACAUGUGAUUUAACUUGAUAUGAUAUAUAUGAAGAAUGCAAAUCACAUGGGUUUAAUCCUAACUACACCAAAAAUAAUUUAUUCGAAUUUGGUCCAGUUUUGGCGAUCAUAAAUUUUACGAUCUCCAAAUGACCUAAAAUUCUGUAGGAUCUUCGGAAACGGUCAUUUAAGAAGAAGUCACUGCUAUGCAGUGUAUCACAUCGUAUUUUGAUGAUUUGGGAUCGUUUAGAUGAGUUUUUUGGAGGUUUGACGGAUUAAAAUGUGAUUUACAUACGNNNNNNNNNNNNNNNNNNNNNNNNNNNNNNNNNNNNNNNNNNNNNNNNNNNNNNNNNNNNNUUGACGGAUUAAAAUGUGAUUUACAUACGAAAAGUCAUUCUUUCUAUCAUUUUAUUUAUGUCUAAUCUGGAACAUGAUAACACAUGUUUAUUUGAUAUGAAUUGAUAUAAAAAGAAUACAAGUCAUAUUUUAAAUUCUUUAAAAAAUGCUUAAAAUGAUAAUUUUUCAAAUUCGGUCGCAACUUUUAGAGAUCGUGACUUUAACGAUCUCCGAUUGACAUGAAAUUUGGUAGAUUUAUCAGAAAUAGUUCAAUGAACAACAAUCACUGGUAUGCAACGUAAAAUAUUAAUCUUAGUAUUUUAAGACUGUUUAAUUGGGGUAUUGAGCAUUUUUUUUAAAAAAAUUGUGGAACUUAACACUCAGAGAAAAGUUUGUGGUUGUGAUAAAGUGGUGAUAGAAAUUAACCCCUAUGGUCUCCAUAUUUUUAUUUAUAGUGAGAUAAUAAAUUUACACGUUGACAUUAGGUCUUCCUCCAUAUCGGAUAAAUUUAUUAUGAACUCACUGGAUAUAGUUACUAGUUAUUGAUAACCUAUGUUAGCUCUCCAUCUGA